Mauremys reevesii (Reeves's turtle) is the source of this 352-nucleotide long non-coding RNA. RefSeq lists it as uncharacterized. The transcript has 3 exons. Lineage: Eukaryota; Metazoa; Chordata; Testudines; Geoemydidae. The record is from RefSeq and is a predicted model, not a curated record.
CAGCGUCACCUCAUACUCUGUGUGUGGCUUCAGAUUCCCAAUUGAGUACUGGCUUUCAUCCUCAGAGAGGUCGAUGGUCGUCCUGUCCCCAGGAACAUCCUUGGGUCCAUAGGAUGGCAAACACACGGAUAAAGUAUUCCACGCCAGGCUCCAGUUCACGGAUGGUAGCAGAUGUCUCGUUUCCAGGCACCCUGAACUGCAGUUCUAGGCCACCAACACUGGAGAUGGCAGAUCCAUUGCUUUCCAGUGUUUUCCUGGGCUCCUUGCUAUGCAGAGACCGGCUUACACCAAAUAUGCCUCCAGCUCGCAACACAGUGGGAUGUUGCCACGUCACUUCAUUGUGCAGUUUCUG